UGAACGCUGGCGGCGGGCCGACUACAUGCACGUCGAGCGACCAGACGAGGAGCUUGCUCCUCUGACGUUAGCGGCGGACGGGUGAGUAACACGUGGAUAACCUACCUAUAAGACUGGGAUAACUUCGGGAAACCGGAGCUAAUACCGGAUAAUAUAUUGAACCGCAUGGUUCAAUAGUGAAAGACGGUUUUGCUGUCACUUAUAGAUGGAUCCGCGCCGCAUUAGCUAGUUGGUAAGGUAACGGCUUACCAAGGCAACGAUGCGUAGCCGACCUGAGAGGGUGAUCGGCCACACUGGAACUGAGACACGGUCCAGACUCCUACGGGAGGCAGCAGUAGGGAAUCUUCCGCAAUGGGCGAAAGCCUGACGGAGCAACGCCGCGUGAGUGAUGAAGGUCUUCGGAUCGUAAAACUCUGUUAUUAGGGAAGAACAAAUGUGUAAGUAACUAUGCACGUCUUGACGGUACCUAAUCAGAAAGCCACGGCUAACUACGUG
This 495-nucleotide ribosomal RNA is filed under the name uncultured bacterium. Its description in RNAcentral is "partial 16S ribosomal RNA". It matches the Rfam family "Bacterial small subunit ribosomal RNA", at positions 30 to 507 of the family's 1533-position model. The record is from RNAcentral.